RNAcentral lists this non-coding RNA (29 nucleotides) under Rattus norvegicus (Norway rat). Lineage: Eukaryota; Metazoa; Chordata; Mammalia; Rodentia; Muridae. The record is from RNAcentral.
UAAGUUUUUCUAAUGCCAGGUAGGUGUCU